CAAACAAAAAACUGUCCGAUGUGCAUGGUGGCGUAUGCCUCAGUGCGCCAGCAUCUCAUCAAAUACCACCAAGUCCAAACUCGAUCUGAAUUACACCUGCUCCUGAAUUAUGCUUCUGGCAUUCACAGGGGCAGGCUGGACUGUCCGCUUUGUAAUUACAAAGACCUCGUGCGACUCGACAAACACCUUGAAAAUGUUCACAAGGAAAUCAAGAGCUGUCACUACACUGAGAUUGUGAGAAAGGCCAAGUAAAGUGCCAAAUUAAAAGCCCUGAAGGAGCUUAGGAGGUCGAAUCCCCAACCUGCAAUGGUCAGCACACUGGACCUGGAACAGCUGACCAGCAGCAGUGAGGAGGAAGAGGAGAGUAGUGUGGUGAAGGAGGACACAUGACAGAAGGAGGCUGAAGGACAUGAUGAACCCUCUUUCUCCUCUCCAAGCCAUCAGUCUCCCAAGCAGUGUCAACAAUGUUCCAUACUCAAGCUUAAAAUCCACCACCUGCGUGCUUCAAGGAAUCCACAGACAGCAUCACCACCGACGACUACUCCGGCUCCACAGCGGAAAAAGUACGAGAGGGCAAAUAGGGAAACUGACCAGAAUGAAAUCCCCCCGUUUGAGAGAGUCAUGAGAAUCUGGUUUCAGCACAUUACUGGCUCUGGCAAGAGACAGGUGGGGAAUGCCAAGCAGCAUGUAAGCCAUGUCCGGCAGUGGAUCAUUUUUAUGGCACAGAGUGCAGUGCCUGAGAUGACUUUGGGGUUUUCCAGGGACAGAGACCGGCUCCUUGACAACCCUUGAGAAAAGGCCGAACAAGGAGAACCUUGAGCAUCUGUACGGCUUGCUUGGGGGAUUCGCUGUUUGUACCACUGGCCACAGGAAGGGGGUCCUCACUAACAUGAGGGUAGAGGAGGUGACCUCUGCGGAGCGUGACAGUUCCGGACGGGGAAUAAAUUGGAAUAAGAAAAUAGCAAUA
Molecule: long non-coding RNA, 967 nt
Organism: Toxotes jaculatrix (banded archerfish)
Lineage: Eukaryota; Metazoa; Chordata; Actinopteri; Toxotidae
Exons: 5
Source: RefSeq, a predicted model, not a curated record